GGCUCGUUGGUCUAGGGGUGGGAUUCUCGCUUUGGGUGUGAGAGGUCCCGGGUUCAAAUCCCAGACGAGCCC
RNAcentral lists this transfer RNA (72 nucleotides) under Danio rerio (zebrafish). It matches the Rfam family "tRNA". Rfam says of the family: Transfer RNA (tRNA) molecules are approximately 80 nucleotides in length. Their secondary structure includes four short double-helical elements and three loops (D, anti-codon, and T loops). The record is from Rfam by way of RNAcentral. Lineage: Eukaryota; Metazoa; Chordata; Actinopteri; Cypriniformes; Danionidae.